GAUGAAGAACGUAGCGAAAUGCGAUACGUAAUGUGAAUUGCAGAAUUCAGUGAAUCAUCGAAUCUUUGAACGCAUAUUGCGCUCUCUGGUAUUCCGGAGAGCAUGCUUGUUUGAGUAUCAGUAAACACCUCAACUUCCAUAUCUUUUUUGAAAUGGGAGUUGGACUUGAGUGAUCCCAACGCUUUUCCUCACCGAAAAGUGGCGGGUGACUUGAAAUGCAGGUGCAGCUGGACUUUUCUCUGAGCUAUAAGCAUAUCUAUUUAGUCUGCCUAAAAAACAGAUUAUUACCUUUGCUGCAGCUAACAUAAAGGAGAUUAGUUCUUGUGCUGACUGAUGCAGGAUUCACAAAGACGGCUUCGGCCGACUUUGUAAACUCGAUCUCAAAUCAAGUAAGACUACCCGCUGAACUUAAGCAUAUCAAUAAGCGGAGGA
Molecule: unclassified non-coding RNA, 432 nt
Filed under: soil metagenome
Description: partial contains 5.8S ribosomal RNA, internal transcribed spacer 2, and large subunit ribosomal RNA
Rfam family: 5.8S ribosomal RNA (bases 1-120)
Source: RNAcentral